Molecule: ribosomal RNA, 242 nt
Filed under: Salmonella enterica subsp. enterica serovar Derby
Lineage: Bacteria; Pseudomonadati; Pseudomonadota; Gammaproteobacteria; Enterobacterales; Enterobacteriaceae
Description: partial 23S ribosomal RNA
Rfam family: Bacterial large subunit ribosomal RNA
Source: RNAcentral
GAUUCGUCACACUAUCAUUAACUGAAUCCAUAGGUUAAUGAGGCGAACCGGGGGAACUGAAACAUCUAAGUACCCCGAGGAAAAGAAAUCAACCGAGAUUCCCCCAGUAGCGGCGAGCGAACGGGGAGGAGCCCAGAGCCUGAAUCAGCAUGUGUGUUAGUGGAAGCGUCUGGAAAGGCGCGCGAUACAGGGUGACAGCCCCGUACACAAAAGCGCAUGUGCUGUGAGCUCGAUGAGUAGGG